AUCCUCCUUUACUUUUAAUCUCCUUGGUUCCAAUAGAUCUACUAAUUUUAUUUGGCUCAGAAUUUGCCGGUCGUUUGGCUCCACAUUGAGUGGGCGUAGCCUGCGGCACUGAUUGACUGAUUGGCAACUGGCAACUGGCCAAGGAGAUUAAAAGUAGUUCUAAACUCCUUGCAACUGGCACACUGGCAGCUGGCAGCUGGCAACUUCCUCUUUUCGAAGAUGGCGGCGGGAAAGGCAAAGAGGCACCUCUUGUUGUCGAGGAGUUGUCAAUACACUGUCAAUUAGGCCUAAUAUUAUCACUGUUUCCACGGAAAAUUUUCGAUCAUGGCCUAGAUAUCUAGAUCUAGAGAUCUAGAUCUAGGUAGAUCCAAGGUUGUUUUGUGACAGCUUCUAGAAUCUAGAAACAUGCUGAUCAGGAGAGAGAUAGACACUCCAGAGUCUCUGGAAUGAGAACCCGGUGCUGCAAAUGCUCACGCCAUUAAGUUCAAGAUACUCCAGCUGAAGACGGUCACUCGGUCAGCCUUGUUUGGCGUGAUACGUUGGAGACUUGUGCUUGCCCAGACUCUACUCUUCAGUGUGAGACCGAAGACUGAAGUAUCGAAACAAGUCUUGACUGACCUGGUAACUUGGAAGAGUUCAGGAUGCUCUUUGAGGAGACUAUUGGGCAAAAUGGCAGUAGAACUGCUGGGGAAGUACAACACUGACACACAUUUUGUUGUUGUUGCUGAAGUGAAGUAUGUGACAAGUACAUCCUGCCUGGUUUUUCUUGUUAAGUGAUGUCUGCAAGAUUACAUACUGUGCAGAGCUCCUACCAGUUCACUGAGAUGUCCUUGGACGCUCGACAAAGAGAAUUAGUACUAUUGGUGUCAUAGACAGGCAAGGUCUACCACAGAGAAACAUCACCUUUUCUGACCGUGCCGUAGCUUCUUCAUAGUUCAUUCACGAGAUCAAUACGCAGAAUGCAAUCUACUAUUUGCUACAAAACUUCAGAAGCUUGAACAUAAGGGAUGGACAAACGGCCUUGUAAUUUCAACCCAUACAAUAUUGCUUGGCAAGUACUUUGGCACUGCCCUUCAAAACCUGGAAGUCAACGAGAAAAAGAGUGAUUUAAUCUUUGGAGGGAGAGCUGAUGGUGCAAUGACUCAGGUAAUUCCACCUCGAGCCGCAAGAGGAAAGUGAAUUGUUGAUGUCUUUCAUGAGGAGGCAAGAAGUCCCUUCUUCUUUCCUGCACAGCAAGAAGUGUGUGUGAUGCACCAGGAGGAAGUGGUGGCAGUCCUUCUUCCCCCACCCAGAAUUAAGAACAGUGGCAGACAUUUUUUCUCUUGAUUUUUUCUUUUUCUUCCCCCCACCCCCUUUUUAAAAUGUCUUUUUUCUAUUGUUUAUUUGCUGGGGGGGGGAUCAUUUAUAAAAAGUGUACAUUACAACGAUUUUUAUGGCCGCUCAAUUCGUUUUACUAAAUGUGGUAAUAUUCAUGGAUUAUGUAGCUUGCUUCAAGGUAAGGUAACCUUACUUUUUUCACCAGCCUUUGCUGUCUCUCAAACAUUUUACAUUCCUCUUUGAAAGACCUUACCGGUAUAAUACAAUAACCCUUUGAUAAUGUUCAGAAUCCUGAAACAAACAGGGGUCCUCACUGUGAAAUCCACCUCGUUGCUUUACCUGUACAAAUUCUUGAAGUCACUGGGGUCGCUUUCUCAGUUCGGUUCCUGCAGAAGAUUGGGACCCGAUACGCUCAUGGACAGGCAGAUGAUACAGGAUUGGUAAGGGAGGAACCUCCAGAAUUUUAUUCCUGGACUGUGCCUACCUCUUUCGACUUUGACUAUGAAAUUGAUCACAGGGGCCAAUUUUUAUUUUAAAAUUUGAUUCUCUUUGUUUUUGUAUUUUGUUGUUAUUUGUCUCUUUUUUUUUAAUCCCAAAAAUUACCUCCCUUUGUUUAUUUCAAUAAAAUUGUGUAUGAAAAUAA
Long non-coding RNA from Aplysia californica (California sea hare), 1960 nucleotides. RefSeq lists it as uncharacterized. The transcript has 6 exons. The record is from RefSeq and is a predicted model, not a curated record. Lineage: Eukaryota; Metazoa; Mollusca; Gastropoda; Aplysiida; Aplysiidae.